UUGAUUUUGGGCAGUAAAACAGGAAAAUUCGAAAACAGAAGAUGACAAAACUCUUCACACAUUUCGCCAUUUUCAAAACAAUACCAACACCAUCUAGCGGCACACUGGACAAUCGUCUGAAUUGUAAAAACAACCGCUAGAUAAUGCCAGUGCUUCAUGCAGACGAAACGAUUGUCCCAAGCUCCCAAGGAAGGAGAGAGUGACAGCUGAAAUGUGAAAUGUGGGAAAUCGAAAGAAUUCGAAAAGUGAAAUCAAUAUUCAGCAUGAUGUUUGACCAUGUUUGACACUGAAAAACUAACUUGACUUGGUAGUAAGUUAACUAAAUGUUUUCAUGCAUAUUUACCAGUUCAUUUGUCAUCAUUUGCCACGUAAUGACGACCAUUGUUGAAGCUGAAGCUGGCCAGGAAUUCUAAGCUGUCAUCAAUUCUGCAGCUGUAGUGUGCCUAUACUAAAAAUGGAAUCAAAAAUUGUAAUAUCACAGCAAUCUUACAAAUUUUCUGUUCUUGUCUUUCAGAUGGAUGUUUUGUAAAUGCUGAAUCCAAGAACUUCGUCAUUUCACUUGAUUGACUUUCUUUUCCGAUUUUAAUAAUGGUGAUAUUGCAAACAUACCAUAUUGCAAGUACUUACCUGAGCAGCUGAGCUGUUCCUUUCUGUGGUUCCUUUCAAUUGAUUCAUUUGAGAUAAAAAAAGGAUAAAGCAGACAAUACAACAACAUACUGGUUGCAACUUCCGCAACAUGAAAUUAUCUUCAAAGAACAACCACUGUUCAACUUGAUGCAAAAAGUCUUUUACCCUUGUCUUACCUACCACCGCUUUCAUCACAAACACCAUUUCCGAAACUGGCUAGAAAAUAAAUGGCGGAAAUUUGCCACGGACACUAAACUCUCUGCCCCCUGACGAGUGC
This 904-nucleotide long non-coding RNA is filed under the name Daphnia pulicaria. Its description in RNAcentral is "uncharacterized LOC124313630, transcript variant X2". The record is from RNAcentral. Lineage: Eukaryota; Metazoa; Arthropoda; Branchiopoda; Diplostraca; Daphniidae.